GUUGUAUGGUUAAGUGACUAAGCGUACACGGUGGAUGCCUUGGCAGUCAGAGGCGAUGAAAGACGUAGUAACUUGCGAUAAGCCCAGAUUAGGUAGUAACAACCAUUUGAGUCUGGGAUUUCUGAAUGGGGAAACCCACGUGCAUAAGCACGUAUCCUUACCUGAAUACAUAGGGUAAGGAGGCGAACCGGGGGAACUGAAACAUCUAAGUACCCCGAGGAAAAGAAAUCAACCGAGAUUCCGAAAGUAGCGGCGAGCGAAAUUGGACUAGCCCUUAAGCUUUACACGCGUUAGACGAACGGUCUGGAAAGUCCGACGAUACAGGGUGAUAGUCCCGUAGUUGACGACGUGUGUUCAGUGAAAUCGAGUAGGGCGGGACACGUGAUAUCCUGUCUGAAUAUGGGGGGACCAUCCUCCAAGGCUAAAUACUACUGACUGACCGAUAGUGAACCAGUACCGUGAGGGAAAGGCGAAAAGAACCCCUGUGAGGGGAGUGAAAUAGAACCUGAAACCGUGUACGUACAAGCAGUAGGAGCAGGCUUUGUCCUGUGACUGCGUACCUUUUGUAUAAUGGGUCAGCGACUUAUAUUCAGUGGCAAGGUUAACCAUCUAGGGGAGCCGUAGGGAAACCGAGUCUUAACUGGGCGUUCAGUCUCUGGAUAUAGACCCGAAACCAGGUGAUCUAGCCAUGGGCAGGUUGAAGGUUGAGUAACAUCAACUGGAGGACCGAACCGACUAAUGUUGAAAAAUUAGCGGAUGACUUGUGGCUAGGGGUGAAAGGCCAAUCAAACCUGGAGAUAGCUGGUUCUCCCCGAAAGCUAUUUAGGUAGCGCCUCGGACGAAUACUACUGGGGGUAGAGCACUGUUAAGGCUAGGGGGUCAUCCCGACUUACCAACCCUUUGCAAACUCCGAAUACCAGUAAGUACUAUCCGGGAGACACACGGCGGGUGCUAACGUCCGUCGUGGAGAGGGAAACAACCCAGACCGCCAGCUAAGGUCCCAAAUUACUACUAAGUGGGAAACGAUGUGGGAAGGCUCAGACAGCCAGGAUGUUGGCUUAGAAGCAGCCAUCAUUUAAAGAAAGCGUAAUAGCUCACUGGUCGAGUCGGCCUGCGCGGAAGAUGUAACGGGGCUAAGUAGUAAACCGAAGCUGCGGCAAUGUGCUUUUGCACAUUGGGUAGGGGAGCGUUCUGUAAGCGGUUGAAGGUGUGUGGUAACGCAUGCUGGACGUAUCAGAAGUGCGAAUGCUGACAUGAGUAACGAUAAAGGGGGUGAAAAACCUCCUCGCCGGAAGACCAAGGGUUCCUGUCCAACGUUAAUCGGGGCAGGGUAAGUCGACCCCUAAGGCGAGGCCGAAAGGCGUAGUCGAUGGGAAACGGGUUAAUAUUCCCGUACUUCUUACAAUUGCGAUGGGGGGACGGAGAAGGCUAGGUGGGCCUGGCGACGGUUGUCCAGGUUCAAGUGCGUAGGCUUAAGAGUUAGGUAAAUCCGGCUCUUUUUAAGGCUGAGACACGACGUCGAGCACCUACGGGUGUGAAGUCAUUGAUGCCAUGCUUCCAGGAAAAGCCUCUAAGCUUCAGAUUGUAAGGAAUCGUACCCCAAACCGACACAGGUGGUCGGGUAGAGAAUACCAAGGCGCUUGAGAGAACUCGGGUGAAGGAACUAGGCAAAAUGGUACCGUAACUUCGGGAGAAGGUACGCUCUUGACGGUGAAGUCCCUCGCGGAUGGAGCUAUUGAGAGUCGCAGAUACCAGGUGGCUGCAACUGUUUAUUAAAAACACAGCACUGUGCAAAAUCGUAAGAUGACGUAUACGGUGUGACGCCUGCCCGGUGCCGGAAGGUUAAUUGAUGGGGUUAGACUUCGGUCGAAGCUCUUGAUCGAAGCCCCGGUAAACGGCGGCCGUAACUAUAACGGUCCUAAGGUAGCGAAAUUCCUUGUCGGGUAAGUUCCGACCUGCACGAAUGGCGUAAUGAUGGCCACGCUGUCUCCACCCGAGACUCAGUGAAAUUGAAAUCGCUGUGAAGAUGCAGUGUACCCGCGGCUAGACGGAAAGACCCCGUGAACCUUUACUACAGCUUGGCACUGAACAUUGACCCUACAUGUGUAGGAUAGGUGGGAGGCUUUGAAGCACGUACGCCAGUAUGUGUGGAGCCGUCCUUGAAAUACCACCCUUGUAGUGUUGAUGUUCUAACGUCGACCCCUUAUCGGGGUUGCGGACAGUGCCUGGUGGGUAGUUUGACUGGGGCGGUCUCCUCCCAAAGAGUAACGGAGGAGCACGAAGGUGGGCUAAUCACGGUUGGACAUCGUGAGGUUAGUGCAAUGGCAUAAGCCCGCUUGACUGCGAGAAUGACAAUUCGAGCAGGUGCGAAAGCAGGUCAUAGUGAUCCGGUGGUUCUGAAUGGAAGGGCCAUCGCUCAACGGAUAAAAGGUACUCCGGGGAUAACAGGCUGAUACCGCCCAAGAGUUCAUAUCGACGGCGGUGUUUGGCACCUCGAUGUCGGCUCAUCACAUCCUGGGGCUGAAGUCGGUCCCAAGGGUAUGGCUGUUCGCCAUUUAAAGUGGUACGCGAGCUGGGUUUAGAACGUCGUGAGACAGUUCGGUCCCUAUCUGCCGUGGGCGUUGGAAGAUUGAAGGGGGCUGCUCCUAGUACGAGAGGACCGGAGUGGACGAACCUCUGGUGUUCGGGUUGUGUCGCCAGACGCAUUGCCCGGUAGCUAAGUUCGGAAUCGAUAACCGCUGAAAGCAUCUAAGCGGGAAGCGAGCCCUGAGAUGAGUCUUCCCUGAUACUUUAAGUAUCCUAAAGGGUUGUCGGAGACUACGACGUUGAUAGGUCAGGUGUGUAAGUGCUGUGAGGCAUUGAGCUAACUGAUACUAAUUGCCCGUGAGGCUUAACCAUACAACACCCAAGGGGUUU
RNAcentral lists this ribosomal RNA (2916 nucleotides) under Vibrio parahaemolyticus. Its description in RNAcentral is "23S ribosomal RNA". It matches the Rfam family "Bacterial large subunit ribosomal RNA". The record is from RNAcentral. Lineage: Bacteria; Pseudomonadati; Pseudomonadota; Gammaproteobacteria; Vibrionales; Vibrionaceae.